RNAcentral lists this non-coding RNA (85 nucleotides) under Desulfosporosinus lacus. RNAcentral describes it as "c-di-GMP sequence". It matches the Rfam family "c-di-GMP-I riboswitch aptamer". Rfam says of the family: GEMM was predicted in a large-scale screen for bacterial structured RNA regulatory elements. Genes associated with GEMM are involved in a diverse array of functions, including chemotaxis regulation, signal transduction, secretion and chitin. RNAcentral also lists the same sequence under 1 other name. Lineage: Bacteria; Bacillati; Bacillota; Clostridia; Eubacteriales; Desulfitobacteriaceae. The record is from RNAcentral.
UAUAGUGAAAAGUAAACUUGCUGAAAAGUAAGGACACAAAGCCAUGAGUCUAAGGUAUAAGUACUAUGACAGUCAGGUUGCCAAA